AAAAUCCGUCGACUUUUAAAAUCGUGAGGGUUCAAG
This 36-nucleotide transfer RNA is filed under the name Plantago lanceolata (narrow-leaved plantain). RNAcentral's name for it is "partial tRNA-Leu". RNAcentral also lists the same sequence under 3 other names. The record is from RNAcentral. Lineage: Eukaryota; Viridiplantae; Streptophyta; Magnoliopsida; Lamiales; Plantaginaceae.